RNAcentral lists this unclassified non-coding RNA (581 nucleotides) under Hevea brasiliensis (rubber tree). The record is from RNAcentral. Lineage: Eukaryota; Viridiplantae; Streptophyta; Magnoliopsida; Malpighiales; Euphorbiaceae.
UAUCUGCAUCACUCCCGUUAUCUGUCUCAAAAAAUUCUAUAAUAUUGUAAAGUCUUGCUUAAGGUAGAAAAUACAAACUUAAAAUGGUUAAAGAAAAUACAUUCAUCCACAUAGUUCUUAGCAAAUCAAAGAAAAUAAAUGGGGGGAUAAAGAUCACAUCUUCUUUUGAUCGACUACAUGUAUUCGCUUUGCUAAAGCUUCAGCCAGCGAACCAUGGACCAAAAGGAAUAUAAACCACUUCAAUUUUGGGAAGUACUAGUUUUAGAAAAAAAAAAUGGAUAGGAAAAAGAGCCUGCUAUUUCCUAGAAAAUGUAAAUUAUCCAAUGAGAAGCAAAUGAAAGAUUACAAAAAUAUAUUGGUGACCCUAACUUCCUUGAUCAAUGAUCAUGUAUUUGAGGAUAUGGAUAUCAAAUUAUCAAUGAUCAUAUAAUCAUAAGGUCUAUUAAUCCUAAAUUGAACACUGCCUUUGCAAGUAAUUGACUGCUAAGGAUAUAGGAACACUCGGUCAUCUAUAUGAACAGAACAUUUGAUAAAGUAAACAUGCCAAGGAAAAAUACCUGCAUUUUCUCACAUUGCAGCCA